GCGGAGGAAAAGAAACCAACAGGGAUUGCCCUAGUAACGGCGAGUGAAGCGGCAACAGCUCAAAUUUGAAAUCUGGCGUCUUCGGCGUCCGAGUUGUAAUUUGCAGAGGGCGCUUUGGCAUUGGCAGCGGUCCAAGUUCCUUGGAACAGGACGUCACAGAGGGUGAGAAUCCCGUACGUGGUCGCUAGCCUUUACCGUGUAAAGCCCCUUCGACGAGUCGAGUUGUUUGGGAAUGCAGCUCUAAAUGGGAGGUAAAUUUCUUCUAAAGCUAAAUACUGGCCAGAGACCGAUAGCGCACAAGUAGAGUGAUCGAAAGAUGAAAAGCACUUUGGAAAGAGAGUUAAAAAGCACGUGAAAUUGUUGAAAGGGAAGCGCUUGCAGCCAGACUUGCCUGUAGUUGCUCAUCCGGGUUUCUACCCGGUGCACUCUUCUAUAGGCAGGCCAGCAUCAGUUUGGGCGGUUGGAUAAAGGUCUCUGUCAUGUACCUCUCUUCGGGGAGAACUUAUAGGGGAGACGACAUGCAACCAGCCUGGACUGAGGUCCGCGCAUCUGCUAGGAUGCUGGCGUAAUGGCUGUAAGCGGCCCGUCUUGAAACACGGACCAAGGAGUCUAACAUCUAUGCGAGUGUUUGGGUGUCAAGCCCGAGCGCGUAAUGAAAGUGAACGGAGGUGGGAACCUUUCGGGGUGCACCAUCGACCGAUCCUGAUGUCUUCGGAUGGAUUUGAGUAAGAGCAUAGCUGUUGGGACCCGAAAGAUGGUGAACUAUGCUUGAAUAGGGUGAAGCCAGAGGAAACUCUGGUGGAGGCUCGCAGCGGUUCUGACGUGCAAAUCGAUCGUCAAAU
This 842-nucleotide small RNA is filed under the name Didymella sp. 1 NV-2015. Its description in RNAcentral is "eukaryotic LSU rRNA". It matches the Rfam family "Eukaryotic large subunit ribosomal RNA", at positions 50 to 910 of the family's 3401-position model. Lineage: Eukaryota; Fungi; Ascomycota; Dothideomycetes; Pleosporales; Didymellaceae. The record is from RNAcentral.